GAUGAACGCUGGCGGCGUGCUUAACACAUGCAAGUCGAACGGAGUAGUUCCGCUGACGAGACUUCGGUCAAAUCUUGGGACUACUUAGUGGCGGACGGGUGAGUAACGCGUGAGUAACCUGCCCUUGAGAGGGGAAUAACGUUCUGAAAAGAACGCUAAUACCGCAUAACAUAUAUUUGUCGCAUGGCAGAUAUAUCAAAGAUUUUAUCGCUCAAGGAUGGACUCGCGUCCGAUUAGUUAGUUGGUGAGGUAACGGCUCACCAAGACCGCGAUCGGUAGCCGGACUGAGAGGUUGAACGGCCACAUUGGGACUGAGACACGGCCCAGACUCCUACGGGAGGCAGCAGUGGGGGAUAUUGCGCAAUGGGGGGCAACCCUGACGCAGCAACGCCGCGUGAAGGAAGAAGGCCUUCGGGUUGGUAAACUUCUUUUACCUAGGACGAAGAACGUGACGGUACCUGGAGAAAAAGACAACGGCGUAACUAACGUG
Molecule: ribosomal RNA, 490 nt
Filed under: uncultured bacterium
Lineage: Bacteria
Description: bacterial SSU rRNA
Rfam family: Bacterial small subunit ribosomal RNA
Source: RNAcentral